RNAcentral lists this ribosomal RNA (243 nucleotides) under uncultured bacterium. Its description in RNAcentral is "partial 16S ribosomal RNA". It matches the Rfam family "Bacterial small subunit ribosomal RNA", at positions 57 to 305 of the family's 1533-position model. The record is from RNAcentral.
GCAAGUCGAGCGUGAAAAGCCUUCGGGCUGAGUAAAGCGGCGGACGGGUAAGUAACGCGUAGGAAUCUACCUGGUAGUGGGGGACAACAUGGGGAAACCCAUGCUAAUACCGCAUACGCCCUACGGGGGAAAGCGGGGGACCUUCGGGCCUCGCGCUAUCAGAUGAGCCUGCGUUGGAUUAGCUUGUUGGUGAGGUAAUGGCUCACCAAGGCAACGAUCUUUAGCUGGUUUGAGAGGAUGAUC